Long non-coding RNA from Prionailurus viverrinus (fishing cat), 1773 nucleotides. RefSeq lists it as uncharacterized. NCBI's taxonomy places the organism in Eukaryota, Metazoa, Chordata, Mammalia, Carnivora, Felidae. The record is from RefSeq and is a predicted model, not a curated record. The transcript has 4 exons.
UCUGUGCGCUCAGGGCGGGGCACCUGCUGGUGUGCCGCGGGCGGGACCGUGGUGGCUCUGAGCCGGACGGGCCGAGCCCCCGGGGAUUCCCUGCGGCUCCACACCAUCCUCAGGCCUCGCCCGGACCCGCAGGAGCCCCGUCAGCCCCACAGGCCCCCACCUUCCCGCUCCUUUUGUCCGACGUAGGUUCACGGAGAAGCUGGAGCAGGAGGCCCGUUUUCCCGGCGGCGCCUCUCAGGAGGCGGCGGUGGCUGCAUGCAGGGGGUGGCCGGUGAGUGGGCAGACCUUCUGGCUUCGAGCGGCCGUCUUGCCUCCUGAGAACAAGAGUGAGCCGGCCACCUUCUCGGCACCGGAGCUCCGUUUCCUCGUCUGCAGAAUGGGACGCUAAUCUUACCCCAUUGGCUCGUUGAAAACACCGGAGCGGGAGCCCGGCUCCAAGUAAAUGCCCCAGGGCGUGGCUCCUUGCGCCGGGUGUCCCCAUCAGAGCGACCCCGGGCGAGGUUUCAGUUUUUCUCCGGCAAAGCAGGAGGCUGGAGGGGGCAGUGUGGUGCUGAGGGGCCAGCACCCACGGGUGGCCGGGAGUUGCUGGUGGGGGGUGCCAUGGCCUUGCCUUACCCGUUCUCUGUUGAGGCCUGGAAAAGGCUGGGCGGGUUUUAGUUGUGAGCCCCCCGCCCAGGCAUCUGGUCAUUCGGGGACUCAGGAGAACUUCGCUCACCGGUCAGUGCCUCCUAUGGCCAGUGGCAGACAGUUGUACCUUUGGCAGUAACAGUUUCCACAGACCACGGAUUAUGGGACUUUAAGUUCAGUUCACCUUUAUGAAACAUCUACUAUGGGCAAGAUCUGCAGAUACAGUGAUGGACAAGACACCAUUUCUAUCCUCAAGAAGGUCACAGUCGAGGGGGAAAAGGACACACAAACAGGCAACAGCCACACUGCUUGAUAAAGACGGGGACAGAGCACAGGGCGUGAAAGUACAGAAGAAGGGCCCCUGAUCUGGAUUUGGGGAGCUCAGGGGAGGCUUUCUAGAAGGAAGACCUGUGAGUCAUCUCUUGAAGGGCGAAAAGAAACCUGUUAGAUGAAGAGGACGGAAGGGCAUGCCAGGCAGAAGGAAGCAUGGCUUGUCGGAGGACCUGGAAGCGGGGGGCUGGGACCGAGCCCGAGGCGUCUCUGAGGCGCCUGGAGACUGAAGAGGCCGAUUCGCCCGAAGGAAGAGCCCAUCCUGUGGCUCAAGCGCCACCACCCCCGCGAAGCCUCAGUGUGCUACCUCCGCCUUCAAUGAGCCGUACCGUCUAUACCACACUUGGGAUCUCGGUCGCGGCUCCUUUUCAUCCACGAAAGUAUAGCCUCUGUGGUGAGACCAUAAGCUCCUGAGGGCUGCCUGUGAUAACGUUUAGUUUAAUAAAUACCAAGAAGACCGAGCCCUACUGGUGUGGAUUUCGGGACACGUGGAAAGUGCCGGGGCUUUGGGGUUGGAUUGGAUUCUGGCCAUGCCACUAGGUCCCCGUUAGUAACUGCGGGCGAAUUUUAAAACCCGCCUGCUGCCUCAGUUUCCUCCUCUGUAAAGUGAAUGAUGGCUCCAAGUCACCGGUUGUUCUGAGGACCCGGGUGUGGCUGGGGGCUGGGGGACGGGCUGGGGCUUCCCAGCAGGGGGGCUUCGGCCACAGCAGCAGCGGAGGGCAGGCGAGGCGGCAGGCCAGGGUGGGGGAGCUGAUGCCAUCCGGGCCGGGCUGAGCAGCUCCCAGUGUGGUCCGGUGGGCUGGCCCGCGAAUACCC